UACGGAGGGCGCGAGCGUUGUCCGGAAUCACUGGGCGUAAAGGGCGCGUAGGCGGCCCUGGUAAGUCUGCGGUGAAAGCCCGGGGCUCAACCCCGGGUCGGCCGCGGGUACUGCCGGGCUGGAGUGCCGUAGGGGCAGGCGGAAUUCCUGGUGUAGCGGUGGAAUGCGUAGAGAUCCGGAAGAACACCGGUGGCGAAGGCGGCCUGCUGGGCGGCGACUGACGCUGAGGCGCGAAAGCGUGGGGAGCAAACAGG
RNAcentral lists this ribosomal RNA (254 nucleotides) under uncultured bacterium. RNAcentral describes it as "partial 16S ribosomal RNA". It matches the Rfam family "Bacterial small subunit ribosomal RNA", at positions 524 to 776 of the family's 1533-position model. The record is from RNAcentral.